UGUUAUAUAAUUAUGAAAUAAUGUGAUACCAUUAAAUUAAACUAUACUUUAUAUUAGAUGCUCUAGAAUUCUUUGAAAAGGAAUUUAGAAAGCAUUUAGAGUAUCAACUAGGAUUUGGAGUUUUUUUUUAAUUAAUACAAAAUUAAGUUUCUCAAUUGAUUUAGAUUUGAACCAUUAUUUACCUUUAGAUUCUUCAGGAAUUCGAUACCAAAUCUCCAACACCACAAUCCCUCUUUUUGUUCCAUCCCCUCCCACAAAAAUCGUGAUUUGAAAAUCGUAGCUAACAAUCAUGGCUAUGGACAAGGACAACAACCACGCUAGCAACGUCGCUGAUCAAGAUUAACGAAGCGGUUGCCGAAGGAUCGCCAAACCGGUGUCGUCUCAGAAUCCGUAGUGGAAGCGAGAAAGGAGAGGAAGGUGCGGAGACGGCAGUGGCGGUGGCUGUGGAUGAUGAGAGCGGAUCAAAUAUGGUUAGAGAGAUACCUACCCAUCUUCCUCCGCUCGAGCUCCCUUCAAUAAUCUGAGUCUAAUCAAUUUGGAUCUUGUUGUCGCUCGCACGCUCCAAGAACAUGUGGGCCUAUUUCUUUUUUGGCAUCUCUUUGUUUCAGAUUUUUCUGAGUUUCUAAGAGUUUGUAUCCUAUUCAAUCGCUGAUUACAUACGGUUCAAGCGCCGCUUCGGCGCCGACAUCAAUCAUCAGCUACAAGAAACGCUUCUCUUGGAUUCUCCCUAACCCCUUUCUUCAGGUAGAUUUGGUCACAACAAUUUAUAUUGAAGAUAAAGAAAAUAGAGACUAACCUUCAAGAACAUGCUCGUCUGGCCUGAUUGAAGAAUCAGCACAGACAUCGCACACAACUCUGCGGCGAAUCUCGCUAGUUCACGAAUCAACAGCAGACGCUUUCAGAUUCAACAUCAUUCAUUAGACUUGUUGUGUGUUAAAAAAAGGUACAUGCUUUUAAUAAUGAGUAGAUGAUACUGAGCAUCCAAUGACUGCAGAUAAUAGUUUGACAAGUCGAAGCCUAUCUACGUACAAGACAUUGGCAUUCUCUUUACAAUUCCGAGUAAUUGUUGUCUUUUUAUACAAUAAAAUAUUGAAGAAACAAAGUACUGAAACACAUUCUAGCGAGAACCCCAUGAUUUCAGCUGCAUGUAUCAAGCUUCUUUCUAGAAAAGAGUUUCACGCACAUUUUCAGGAAAAAAAGAUGGAAGUGGAUAUGUUUGGGUAGUGUUGAGAAUUACACCAGAGGCUUGAGGCAGCUCAUGGGGGGAAGGAAUUAGAGCUCAGCUAUGAGACAAUAUAUAUGUGCGUGUGAUGUUUGUCUUGGAAAACUACAUACAAAUGCAACAAGAUCCUUGGCUGUAUUGGCUGUUACAUACCAAUGUGUGCAGAUUUAAAUUUCAAAAGAAAACACAAAGAAGAAAGCUAAGAUAGAAGCAGGAAGGAGAUCACAACAACGGAAAAUCUGGGUUUUUUUUCUUAUAUGAGAGGCUGUAAUUGAUUCAUGCUAGACAGAAGACAAGCUGACUCUCAUGGAGGAAGGACAAAUGAUUAGGCAUCUAGGAUUAUCUGUACGUGAAGAGCCUUUUGGCCAUAUGAAAGCACAAGAUAUAUUCUCAUUUGCAA
Brassica napus (rape) is the source of this 1622-nucleotide long non-coding RNA. RefSeq lists it as uncharacterized. The record is from RefSeq and is a predicted model, not a curated record. Lineage: Eukaryota; Viridiplantae; Streptophyta; Magnoliopsida; Brassicales; Brassicaceae. The transcript has 3 exons.